AAGUAUCCAUCAAUCGGGCGAGCCUAAGAGAAACUCUGUUCGAAUCGUGUCAAGGAUGGCACGUAUUUCAGCCAUGGAAUCUAUAACAACAAAUAGGUCUGAGGAAAAUUUCAAUCCAUUUCAAAACGACAAGCCAGCAAAGCACAAUAGAGUCAGAGUUUUAGAAUUGGAAAACAUUGAAUCAAACGAGGAUGAAACGGAUGAUUUAACGCAGCUGAAUCGAAUAAAUGAACAAGCCACAGGUGGUCGAGCAAGAGUGUCUCUUUUUGAAUAAAGAACUACAAUGUGACGGGAAAAGGACUUGUUGUUUAAAGAAUAAACUUUAACUUAUUCG
Molecule: long non-coding RNA, 334 nt
Organism: Ruditapes philippinarum (Manila clam)
Lineage: Eukaryota; Metazoa; Mollusca; Bivalvia; Venerida; Veneridae
Exons: 3
Source: RefSeq, a predicted model, not a curated record